Molecule: ribosomal RNA, 427 nt
Filed under: uncultured bacterium
Lineage: Bacteria
Description: bacterial SSU rRNA
Rfam family: Bacterial small subunit ribosomal RNA
Source: RNAcentral
CUCCAGACUCCUACGGGAGGCAGCAGUGGGGAAUAUUGCACAAUGGGGGAAACCCUGAUGCAGCGACGCCGCGUGAGUGAAGAAGUAUUUCGGUAUGUAAAGCUCUAUCAGCAGGGAAGAAAAUGACGGUACCUGACUAAGAAGCCCCGGCUAACUACGUGCCAGCAGCCGCGGUAAUACGUAGGGGGCAAGCGUUAUCCGGAUUUACUGGGUGUAAAGGGAGCGUAGACGGCAGUGCAAGUCUGAAGUGAAAGGCGGGGGCCCAACCCCCGAACUGCUUUGGAAACUGUGCUGCUGGAGUGCAGGAGAGGCAAGUGGAAUUCCUAGGGUAGCGGUGAAAUGCGUAGAUAUUAGGAGGAACACCAGUGGCGAAGGCGGCUUGCUGGACUGUAACUGACGUUGAGGCUCGAAAGCGUGGGGAGCAAAC